This 716-nucleotide small RNA is filed under the name Pongo abelii (Sumatran orangutan). Its description in RNAcentral is "retained intron". The record is from RNAcentral. Lineage: Eukaryota; Metazoa; Chordata; Mammalia; Primates; Hominidae.
UUUUUCUCCCCGCAGGGGCUCAGUCCCAGCCUGGUUUCAUGAUUCUUGUGAGAGACAGUUGCUGUGUCCCAUCCUCAGCCCAUAGGGAAUGUCCCUGAGCCAGGCUGGCACAAGAGAGUUUAUAUUGGUGGACUCAUCUGCCGCGCUUUGGUCCUGGAGCCCCUGAGAUGGAGCAGUCUUUGCUUUAUCUGUUCCCUGGUCUGUCCCGCUCAUGGCCACCAUGCUGGGCAGAAAGCUGAUGGAUUGGGACCAGGACAUGCAUGGUUCACCCCCUCCCCACGUUCGUCCUGUGUGUUUUUGCUUCUCUCACUCUCUUUCCUUUUCGUGGGGGUUGCUUAUCCUCAGGAGAGGACCCCCUGGCUGGGGACCAGAACGACCAUGACAUGGAUUCCAUAGCUGGUGUCCUGAAGCUUUACUUCCGGGGGCUGGAACACCCUCUCUUCCCCAAGGACAUCUUUCAUGACCUGAUGGCCUGUGUCACAAUGGACAACCUGCAGGAGAGAGCUCUGCACAUCCGGAAAGUCCUCUUGGUCCUGCCCAAAACCACUCUGAUUAUCAUGAGAUACCUCUUUGCCUUCCUCAAUCAUUUAUCACAGUUCAGUGAAGAGAACAUGAUGGACCCCUACAACCUCGCCAUCUGCUUCGGGCCCUCGCUAAUGUCAGUGCCAGAGGGCCACGACCAGGUGUCCUGCCAAGCCCACGUGAAUGAGCUGAUC